ACACUCUGUCACUCUGUCACUCCACACUCUGUCACUCUGCACACUCUGUCACUCUGUCACUCUGUCACUCUGUCACUCCACACUCUGUCACUCUGUCACUCCGUCCUGCCUGUUCUAUCUGUCGGUUUGACUCAUUUGUUUUCCGUCUUUGUUUUUAGCUGUUAUAACUUUUAAAUGCUGGAAGGCGACCUGGGGUGUCCUGCAAGGCGCCUCUAAAUAAAAUGUAUUAUUAUUAUAAUAAAAUAGAAUAAUAAAGAAUGAAUUAAAUUAAUCUAACAUCAUUUCUAAAACUUGACAUCAGGAAUGAAUCGGACGUGAUUAUUAACGAUGGCGGUGUGUAAACGUUCUCAGGAUACUGAUACGUGAACUCACCUGAGGAGAACUGCUCACGUGAAGAAGAUCCACACGCUUACAAACUGUGUGUGUGUGUGUGUGUGUGUGUGUGUGUGUGUGUGUGUGUGUGUGUGUCACAGUUGCAGGAGCAGCUCCCUCAGAAGGUUCUCCCUCUGGUGUCCUCGGGGAUGAAGCCUCAGGCGUACCUGAGUCAGAACACGCUGGUGGAGAUGACGCUGGGGAUGAAGAAGCUGAAGGAGGAGAUGGAGGGCGUCGUCAAAGAGCUGGCAGAGAACAACCACUUCUUAGAGCGAUUCGGGACUCUGACGCUGGACGGAGGUCUGAGAGGUUGAAGCUUCGAUUCCUCGUGUUUCUUCAGAAGCUUCUUGUAAAUAUUCUGAGUGUUUAUCUUGUAAAUAACGUCGUCAGAAGAAGCUUUUUGUAUCUCCUGUGUUCAUGAACACACGGCUACCCUCCUUCAGACGCUGCUUUAGAAACCGCUUUGAGCGCUGUAAGUAUAUUUGUACCUGAAGAAAACCCUUAAAAUACUUUCACUUGAUCGUUAACUUACUUAAAGCUGCAGUUUGGUAGAAAAGAGCCUUAAAGAUCUUAAUGAACUACUUUAGAUUGCAUAUUAAUGACAUUAAUCAUCAGGUUAUUCAUUAAGGUGUGAUUAAAGUUGCCUGAAUUAAAUGUAAUAAAUUAAUUAACAGCACAUUUGGGAAAUCGUCAAUUUAAAAAUGAGGUAACUGUAAAGUUGUUUCCUUUAUAAAACUUUAAUACAUUAAAGUUUAUUAAUGUCAGACCUCUGAUGAAUAUCUGGAAACUCAAUAAUACUUAAGAUGGAUGAGAUUUCACGGGUGAAUUAAGAGUUUUUAAGGGAUUAUUGUGUUGGAUGUAAUAAUUGUCUAUUUAAUGGGUUUUCUGUGUUUAUGACAAUUUAAAAUACACAAAGUAACUAACAAACUAAUAACUUUCAUGUUAUUCGUCUAAUAUAAUCCACUUUCAAACAUCUCUCCGUCUUUACGUUUCUUCAUUACUUCACUAUUAAAGUGAAAUGUUUAGUAUAAGAAUGCUGAUUACAUUUGUUUCUUAUUUAUUGUUCUAAAAGGCCAAUAGUCCACGAGUUCUCAUGUAUCCAUAACUCUGGUCAGUAUGUUGAAAUCUUUAGAAGGAUUAAUGUUUUGUCAAUAAUCAUUUAAAAUGCUCAAUGAUUGUUUGAACUUGUAAAUAAAUAAAUAUCUUAAGAAAUCG
Molecule: long non-coding RNA, 1587 nt
Organism: Cottoperca gobio
Lineage: Eukaryota; Metazoa; Chordata; Actinopteri; Perciformes; Bovichtidae
Exons: 3
Source: RefSeq, a predicted model, not a curated record